RNAcentral lists this ribosomal RNA (364 nucleotides) under uncultured organism. Its description in RNAcentral is "bacterial SSU rRNA". It matches the Rfam family "Bacterial small subunit ribosomal RNA", at positions 527 to 896 of the family's 1533-position model. The record is from RNAcentral.
CGAGGAUCCAAGCGUUAUCCGGAAUCAUUGGGUUUAAAGGUCCGUAGGCGGUUUUAUAAGUCAGUGGUAAAAUCUGGUCGCUCAACGAUCAAACGGCCAUUGAUACUGUAAGACUUGAAUUACUUGGAAGUAACUAGAAUAUGUAGUGUAGCGGUGAAAUGCUUAGAGAUUACAUGGAAUACCAAUUGCGAAGGCAGGUUACUACAAGUAUAUUGACGCUGAUGGACGAAAGCGUGGGGAGCGAACAGGAUUAGAUACCCUGGUAGUCCACGCCGUAAACGAUGGAUACUAGCUGUUUGGAGCAAUCUGAGUGGCUAAGCGAAAGUGAUAAGUAUCCCACCUGGGGAGUACGCUCGCAAGAGUG